RNAcentral lists this long non-coding RNA (266 nucleotides) under Mytilus galloprovincialis (Mediterranean mussel). Lineage: Eukaryota; Metazoa; Mollusca; Bivalvia; Mytilida; Mytilidae. The record is from RNAcentral.
UUUUAUUUAUUUGAACGGUUUCUAUAUUAUUUAAAUUCACCGCCCGGUAUCUUAAGAACCGCCCGGUACCCCAUCUUUGGAACCGCCGGGGUACCGUCCGGUAACCCCAUCUUUGAAACUGUCAGGGUACCGCCCGGUAGCCAAUCUUUAGAACCGUUGAGGUACCGCCCGGUAUCUAUAGAACCGCCCGGUACCCCAUCUUUGGAACCGUCGGGGUACCGCCUGUAAAUAUGUAUAUAAGGGGAUGCGAGAGAGAUCAGAGUGGG